This 465-nucleotide ribosomal RNA is filed under the name uncultured bacterium. Its description in RNAcentral is "partial 16S ribosomal RNA". It matches the Rfam family "Bacterial small subunit ribosomal RNA", at positions 28 to 507 of the family's 1533-position model. The record is from RNAcentral.
GACGAACGCUGGCGGCGUGCUUAACACAUGCAAGUCGAACGGAAAGGCCCUGCUUGCAGGGUACUCGAGUGGCGAACGGGUGAGUAACACGUGGGUGAUCUGCCCUGCACUUCGGGAUAAGCCUGGGAAACUGGGUCUAAUACCGGAUAGGAGCCAUUUUUAGUGUGAUGGUUGGAAAGUUUUUUCGGUGUAGGAUGAGCUCGCGGCCUAUCAGCUUGUUGGUGGGGUAAUGGCCUACCAAGGCGGCGACGGGUAGCCGGCCUGAGAGGGUGGACGGCUACAUUGGGACCGAGAUACGGCCCAGACUCCUACGGGAGGCAGCAGGGGGGAAUAUUGCACAAUGGGCGCAAGCCUGAUGCAGCGACGCCGCGUGGGGGAUGACGGCCUUCGGGUUGUAAACUCCUUUCGCUAGGGACGAAGCUUUUUGAGACGGUACCUAGAUAAGAAGCACCGGCUAACUACGUG